RNAcentral lists this ribosomal RNA (393 nucleotides) under uncultured bacterium. RNAcentral's name for it is "partial 16S ribosomal RNA". It matches the Rfam family "Bacterial small subunit ribosomal RNA", at positions 523 to 918 of the family's 1533-position model. The record is from RNAcentral.
AUACGUAGGGAGCGAGCGUUGUCCGGAAUUACUGGGCGUAAAGGGCGCGUAGGCGGCGCUUCAAGUCGUCUGUCAAAUGUGAGGGCUUAACCCUUUUUCGCAGACGAAACUGGAGAGCUUGGGAAGCAGAGAGGCAAACAGAAUUCCUGGUGUAGCGGUGAAAUGCAUAGAUAUCACUCAGAACACCGAUUGCGAAGGCAUCCGCCGAGGCCGUUACCGACGCUGAGGCACGAAAGCGUGGGGAUAGAACAGGAUUAGAUACCCGGGUAUUCCACGCCGUAAACGAUGAUGACUAACCGCCGGGGGGUAGACUUCCGGCAGCCAAGCGAAAGCGAUAAGUCAUCCACCUGGGGAGUACGGCCGCAAGGCUGAAACUCAAAUGAAUUGGCGGGG